GCCUAAAGGGGCCGUAGCUUGCCGAGUAAGUUCGUCGGGAAAUCUACUGGCUUAACCAGUAGGCGUCCGGCGAAAACUGCUCGGCUUGGGACCGGGAGACCAGAGGGGUACGUCCGGGGUAGGAGUGAAAUCCUGUAAUCCUGGACGGACCACCGGUGGCGAAAGCGCCUCUGGAGAACGGAUCCGACAGUGAGGGACGAAAGCUAGGGUCUCGAACCGGAUUAGAUACCCGGGUAGUCCUAGCCGUAAACGAUGCUCACUAGGUGUGGCACUGGCUACGAGCCAGUGCUGUGCCGUAGGGAAGCCGUGAAGUGAGCCGCCUGGGAAGUACGUCCGCAAGGAUGAAACUUAAAGGAAUUGGCGGGGGAGCACUACAACCGGAGGAGCCUGCGGUUUAAUUGGACUCAACGCCGGACAUCUCACCAGCUCCGACAGUGUGCAGUGACGGUCAGUGUGAUGAGCUUACCUGAGCCACUGAGAGGAGGUGCAUGGCCGCCGUCAGCUCGUACCGUGAGGCGCCCUGUUAAGUCAGGCAACGAGCGAGACCCGCACGCCUAAUUGCCAGCAACACCCUUGUGGUGGUUGGGUACAUUAGGUGGACUGCCGCUGCUAAAGCGGAGGAAGGAACGGGCAACGGUAGGUCAGUAUGCCCCGAAUGAGCUGGGCAACACGCGGGCUACAAUGGUCGAGACAGUGGGACGCCACCCCGAGAGGGGGCGCUAAUCUCCGAAACUCGAUCGUAGUUCGGAUUGCGGACUGAAACUCGUCCGCAUGAAGCUGGAUUCGGUAGUAAUCGCGUGUCAGAAGCGCGCGGUGAAUACGUCCCUGCUCCUUGUACGCACCGCCCGU
RNAcentral lists this ribosomal RNA (849 nucleotides) under uncultured haloarchaeon. RNAcentral's name for it is "bacterial SSU rRNA". It matches the Rfam family "Archaeal small subunit ribosomal RNA", at positions 508 to 1353 of the family's 1478-position model. The record is from RNAcentral. Lineage: Archaea; Methanobacteriati; Methanobacteriota; Halobacteria; Halobacteriales; Halobacteriaceae.